This is a long non-coding RNA of Lycium ferocissimum, 1462 nucleotides long. RefSeq lists it as uncharacterized. The record is from RefSeq and is a predicted model, not a curated record. Lineage: Eukaryota; Viridiplantae; Streptophyta; Magnoliopsida; Solanales; Solanaceae. The transcript is spliced from 2 exons.
AUUAGGUUAAGACUAAUCAAUAACCAACAAGUUAUUUACGCCCCCAUUAACCUUCGCAAUUAAAAGUUAAAGUGAAAUGCAUAUCAUAUAAUCACGAUUAAGUGAGAAAAAUAUGUAUAAUAGACACAUAUUCUAUAUUCAUGAUUUAAUAAAAAAUCGAGUACGAGCAACUUUUUAUCGUAUUGAAAGUAUUUCCCGUGAUUUAACGGUUGUCAGGUACAAAGUUUUAGUUUUUUGACAAAUCUCCAAAAUUAGCUGAUUAAAUCGUAGGGAAGCAAAGCAAAGUAAAUACAGUACUUUAAUCAUUUCUUUGAACGAGUGAAAAAUCAUUUUUCGAUCAUUUACUACAGAUCAAACGGUCUAAAUUAAGCAAGAGAUAAUCACCGUUGAUUCUCCUCUUCCCCCCAAAAAAAAAAUGUGCUACGGCAGUCAAUAGACGACUUUACCGACCCGACCCGAACCCGAACUUCACCAGCAGCUCGGGUCGAAAACCUCCGUGACCGGUUAGUCGAGAUGGAGGCGCGGCUUGAGCGAGCUAGGGCUAAAGAAGCCGAGCUGAGCCGACAAUGAGAGGAAAUGAAGAGGUUUGUUUGCGUUAUGGAGAUUUUAGAAAGUUAUCUCAAACGCCGUUACAGAGAACAACAAGUUAGAAUAGUAAAAGUAAAUUAUGUAUAGGGUAAAAGGUGAAUUCGAAGUAAAAGAAGGGUAGAUUUGUUGUCUUUCUUAUUUUGAUAAAGGAUUUAUAUGGUUGAUGUAUUAUUAGGGUUUUCAUGUUUGGAAUUGCUUAAUGUAAUCAUGUGUGUUGUAAUUGUAUAUUCUUCAGUGUGUUAUAGAAUAGUAGUAAAUCAAUUAAACUUGGAAUUUUAUUCAAUUUUACUGUUCGGUACGUUUAGCGCAGAAGUGGAGCCUUGGAGCAACGAUAAAGUUGUCACUACGUGUGACCUAUAGGUCACGGGUUGCAUGGAAGCAGCCACUAAUGCCUGCAUCAAGGUAGGCUAUAUACAUCACACCCCUUUAGCUUGAUGGAAAUCAGUGUUUUGGACGGCGGGCAGCGACAAAAGGCGACAAGGGCCUGCCUGCGCGCUCGCCCCUUUUUGAAGUACAGCGCCCAUAAAUACCAAAAAAUUAAAAUAUUUAAUUGCAUAUAUAAAUAAUCAAAAUCUCACUAGCAAUAACGUAUUAGCAAAUAUUUCAAUUCAAAAAUUAAAAGUAAAUAAUAGAUACUAAAAGUCUAGAACUUGAAUGACUCAAUAAUUCAUAAAGAAAAAAAAAACGAGCAAAACAACAUCGGGUGCAGAAGAGAAAAAACAACAGAGGAGAAAAUAGAAAAAAGAAAAAAACAGAGGAGAAAGUCGCAAGUUGCGUACAGAAAAAGAAGAAAAAAUAGAAGGAGGAAAAAAAUAGGCAAAAGAAGAAAAAAGUCGCCGGAAACAAAGGAGAAAAGAAGAAGAAGAAGGAGAAA